GAUUGACUCACAGGACAAGGGUGCAGUUUUCUCCUAGCCCAGCACUAAUGGUUAGUGACUUGAGUUAUUAGUGGUGGAUUCUAGGGUCAAUUUGAGGUCAAUUGACUGGUCAGGAACACCUGGUGUCCGUCCUGAAGGUUAUAAAUCAGCGUUCAGGAGGUGUGGCGGCAGGGGAAGAAGGCACACGGUUGAAACCAUGGCACCAAGAAGGAUAAGGAAAAUCGGCAAUCAGACAGAAGGACACGCAGAUGGUCAAAUUAGCAAGGAGAUACGCCAAAAGCAAGGGACGCUUUUUAUUCAACAGUUCGAGAAAGAAGGCUGUUCAUUUUAACGGAUGGCAAUUCGGCAGGUGAAGUCACCAUCGCCAUAAAGACCGAAUCACACGAGAUUCACCAGCCUCUCACAAGGAAGGUCAGUAAAGUCAAAGUAAGUGAAGGUGCAUCAGCUCAUAAAAGGAAGACUACAACAGAACCACCAAAGGUUUCCAAGAAAGCCAGAUCACUUGCCAAUGGCGGCUCAAGCACUGGAAGCCUACGGAGUGCCACAUCCACAAGUACAAAAAUAACCAACUCGCAUUGCCAAAAUCAGUGAUCAAUCUCCACUGACUGGGACGAAACACAGAUCUGUUUUGUGGUCAGCCAGUGAUGACCACCUGUGUUGCUCCCUGUCUGGAUUGUCUCCACAUGUAAUGAUCUCUACAUCCCAUGGAGAGACUUUGUGCCUCUCGGAUGAUACUGUUGAAGAUGUUGACAUCGGGUUACUGGAUGAUAUGGCUGUUCUCUAGAUGCAGAAGUUGAUGAAACUGAUGGACUAUCUUUUAAACAAAGUCAAAGCGACUCAGCCUAUGAAUUAGUCUGCAAUGAUACCAAGACGUCUAACAUUGAGCCACUAAUGCCACCUAUGCAUGUUUUACUUUCAAAUUUAAAAGUUGAUUCAAUAUAGUUCCGAUUUGUAUAUUCAUUAAUAAUCAAUAAACUGACUGGCUUUAUUAAUGUCUACAGUAUUAUGCAAUUUGGUUUCCCCUCAGGUUAUUGAUGUGUCAUUGCAACAUUAAAGGUCCUCAAUGACAUCACCAUUGCCCUUGUUUCUAAGCAAUGUUGUGCUGCUAUUUUUGACUUGGCCAAAGCUUUUGAUAUGGUAGACCAGUGGUUCCCAAACUUUUUAAAGUUCUGUACCCCUUCAAAUAUUAAACCUCCAGCU
This is a long non-coding RNA of Oncorhynchus tshawytscha (Chinook salmon), 1200 nucleotides long. RefSeq lists it as uncharacterized. The transcript has 9 exons. The record is from RefSeq and is a predicted model, not a curated record. NCBI's taxonomy places the organism in Eukaryota, Metazoa, Chordata, Actinopteri, Salmoniformes, Salmonidae.